This 5324-nucleotide long non-coding RNA is filed under the name Homo sapiens (human). RNAcentral's name for it is "non-protein coding LINC01060:24". The record is from RNAcentral. Lineage: Eukaryota; Metazoa; Chordata; Mammalia; Primates; Hominidae.
GAUAGACAUCUGGGCAAGUCAACAGGAAGGUGGAUAUCCAAAUCUCUCUCUUCGCAAUGAGUUUCCAGUUAGAUGGAGGAGAGAGUAAUAAAACACAGAGCUGAGAUUCCUGACUUCACAGAUCCCUGAGGAGAUGUUUACUAAAGGGAAUCUUCUGGUCACUGUUACCUUCCUCCGUACUUACCUGCCUCAUGGAGAACCCGAAAGGAAGAAGCUAUACGACUGGGGACACAUGUCUUAGAAGCACACUCAUUAGAUAAAGUGUCGCAUACUCUUUGAUAAGAAACUCCAGGCUGUCACCCAUCUGUUCUCUCAUCAAAGUAGUUUUGGGCCAGCAACUAUUUCAGACAUUUCUACAGUUUCAGAUGUCUCACUCUGCCUAUGACUGUAUGUUGUACUUGAGGACUGGACGCACAGGGUAAAGUGCAAAUAGCAAGCAUUCAGGUCCAACUCUCCUCCUUCUGGUUAACAAUAUGAAAGAAAGAGGUAGUAUCGGAAUUAUUUUAGUUCAAUGUAGCCAUUAUAAAAUGUGUAUAUAUUUUAAAACAUCAUGUGGUACAUGAUAAAUAUAUACAACUUUUAUUUUUCAAUAAAAAAUUAUAAAAAAAGUCAUCAAACCUGAUUUCUCAUACUACUUUUUUGGUAACACUCAUCACACCAAAGACUUAUUAUUUUAAAAUGUUAUUUUUCAUAAUUAAUUUCUUAUUAAUUUUAUAGGCUAGAUUUUAAUUGUUAUGUCUAAAUAGUAGUGUCUGGUACGUGGUAGAUAAUCAAUGUGACUUGAAUAAAUGAAUAAGUCUGUUAACGACAUACUUCUCAUCACUGUAACUUAUUUUUGGUUUAGGACUGAUAAAACAUUUUUUCUCUCACCCCAUAUUGCUAAAGAUCAAAUCCUUCUUCUUUAAGAUGCUACCAUACCAUUGUUCCAUUCAUCAACGCCAAAUCAUUCCUCGGGCCUGAGAGGAGCUGCCAUCCUUCACUUCGUCUUUGGGUCACUUCCAACCUCUGUUCUCUGUGUGUCUCUUCUGGACUUCCUGGGAGAAUAGCCUCUCUCAUGAUACUCACUUUCUUCCACAUCUUCAAUCUCUGCUUCAUUGAUAGAUUAUGCUACUCAAUAUAGAAACAACAUCUUUUUUAUUUUUUAAUGAUAAACAUUCUCCCCCUCAAUCUUUUAACCUACUAAUGCAGGCAAUCUAAUCUAAAGAAUAGCCUGCAAUGCCUCCUUUCAUCAUUUCCCAUUUAAUCCAGCUUUCUGGCUGAGUAAUUUUGCAGAAAGCCCUUUCUCCCAUGUCACAGAUGGAACUUUGCAGUGGCCUAUUCUGAUAAACAUGUGGCAGUUUACAUGCUAUUUGCAUUUGAAGCUGUUUAUCACUCCCUCCUUCUGAGUACUUUCUUCUUGGUGGGCUUUUAUGAUAGUAAUUGCUAUCCUACUGCUGAGUUUCUGACCACUGCUUGUCAGACACUUUAUUAUGCUCCCUUUCCUUUGCCCAUACUUGCAAAGUUAGAUUUCCACAUAUGCCUUUCCCGUCUUCUUAUUCCAUGAGAUUUAUCUAAGUGAUUUCAUCCAUUGCUAUGGGUUCAACUGCUGCUAAUAUGUUCUUUACUCCCAACUCUCUUUCUACAGCUUCACAUAUUUAACUGCCUUUUAGGGAAUCACCAAAAGGCAAUUCCAUCUUAACAUACACAAAACUGAACUUAUGAUCCUUAAGUAUGAGGCCAGUUCUUUCUUAUGCAUUUUCUAAAUCAGUGAGUGAUACUAUCUCUUGUCCUGUUGUCCUGGGCAGAAUUGCAGGAGGUGACCGCUUUCUCUACCCUCCCUAUAAAAAUUACCAUCUCUCGUUUACCAACCUCCCAAUACCCCAAUCAUUAGUAUCUUUUUAAGAAAUGAUUUUCUGUUGUUUAACAUUUUUUAUAUGCUAUUACCUAUAUGGUUUUCCUCCUGAAAUGGGAUAUUGGGUAAGAGGGUACCAGAUGGAGGUCACAUAGACCUACAGUUUAUUCAAAGGGGACAUCUAUGGAGCAAAGGCAAAAUGGAGAACCCAGUGCAGCCAAACAGCUACUCAAAGGUCUGAGCAGAGAUACAGAAAUGACACAGGAGAUAACAGAAAGAGAGAGACAUAUCAAGUGGGUUUUGAGUGUAGGCAAAACCACAUUUACCCGUAGCUCUGGAGAACCCACUGGCACUGUUUUGAGACUGUUGCAGCCUGCAAGGGAGGGCGGACACUGAGUUCAGACACACACACCCUCCGACCAGCUCCCAAAUGUCUGCUGACGUUUACAACUUUGCUUCCUGCUUUCCUACCUGGUCUUAGCCUUUUGAUACACACCCUCCCACUGCUAUCAGAGUAAGAUUUGAGCUAAGUACAUAAUCUGGCCCUGCCAGAUUAUGACAUUAGUUGGAGAAUAGAUAGGUCAAUGGGACCUGAGAUACAUUUUAGAAAAAUAUUAAUAUGUAUGCCUUAUGUAUAGUGUGCAGCUGGCAUUUUAAACACGUGGAAAAUGAUGAAAAAUUUAAUAAACCAUGAGAGGAAAUUGGAUAAAUAUUUCCGAUACACACACACAUCAGAUUCCCUUUUUUAUGUCACAUGCAAAACUAAAAUAAUAUUUGAAUGGCUUAAUCAGUGAAAUAUUUUUCUAAAUUAACUAACAUACCGGAAAAUAUUUGACUUAUCUCAAACCAAAUAUGUAUUUUUAUUGUAUAGGGUUUUUUCUUUUUUAAAAAAUUUCAGCUUGCAAUUUAGAUAUAGGAGGUACAUGGGCAGAUUUGUUACAAUGGACUAUUGCAUGAUGCUGUGGUUUGAAGUACGUUUCCCAUCACCCUGGUAGUGAGCAUAGUUCCUGAUAGGUAGUCUUUUUUAACCUAACCUCCCUCCCUCCCUCCCUCCACCGUCUAGUAGUCCACAGUGUCUAUUGUGUCUCAUAUUUAUGUCCAUACAUGCUCAAUGCUUAGCUUCCAUUUAUAAGUGAGAAUAUGUGGUAUUUGGUUUUCUGUUUCUGCAUUCAUUUGCUUAGAUCGCCCCAGCUCCAUCUAUGUUGCUGCAAAGAAUGUGAUUUUAUUCUUUUUUAUGGCGUAUAGUAUUUCAUGGUGUUUAUGUACCACAUUUUCUUUGUCCAAUUUCCUACUGAUGGUCGCCUGUGUGGAUUCCAUGUCUUUGCUAUUGUGAAUAGUGAUGCAGUGGACAUCUGAGUGUAAAUGUGUUUUUGGCAGAAUGAUUUAUUUUCUUUUGAGUGUAUACCCAGUAAUGGGAUUGCUGAGUCAAAUGGUAGCUUUGUUUUAAGUUUUGAGAAAUCUCCAGACUGCUUCCUCAGUGGAUUGGUCUAAUUUACAUUCCCACUAACAGCGUAUAAGCUUUCCCUUUUCUCUGCAAUGUUGCCAGCAUCUGUUUUUUUGACUUUUUAUAAUAGCCAUUCUGACUGGUAUGAGAUGGUAUCUCAUUGUGGUUUUGAUUUGGAUUUCUCUGAUGAUUAGCGAUGCUGAGCGUUUUUUCACACAUUUGAUGUAUGUCUUCUUUGAGAAAUGUCUGUUCAUGUCUUUGCCCAUCUUUUAAUGGGGUUAAUUGGGUUUUGUUUGUUCAACUGUUUAAGUUCCCUAUAGAUUCUGGAUAUUAGGCCUUUGUCAGGUGCAUACUUUGCGAAUAUCUCCUCCCAUUCCCUAGACUGCCUGUUUACUGUGCUGAUUUUUACUCUCUGUUUAUUUUGCUAUGUAAAAGUUCUGGAGUUUAAUUAGGUCCCACUUGUCCCGUUUUUGUUUUUGUUGCAAGUGCUUUUGGGGACUUAGCUAAAAAUUAUUUGCCAAGGCUGAUGUCCAGAAGAAUGUUUCCUAGGUUGCCUUCCAGAAUUUUUAUAGUUUGAGGUCUUACAUUUAAAUCUUUAAUGUAUUUUCAGUUAAUUUUUGUAUGAGGUGAAACGGAGGGGUCCAGUUUCAUUCUGCUACAUAUGGCUAGCCAGUUAUCCCAGCUGUGUUUAUUGAAUAGGGAGUUCUUUCCCAUUGCUUGUUUUUGUUGGCCUUGUCAAAGAUCAGAUGGUUGUUGGUAUGUAGCUUUAUUUGUUUGUUUUCUAUUCUUUUGCAUUGGUCUAUGUGUCUGUUUCUGUAACAGCACCAUGCUGUUUUGGUUACUGUGGCUUUAUAGUAUAGUAUGAGGUUGGAAAGAGUGAUGCCUCUGGCAUUGUUCUUUUUGCUUAGGCUUUCUUUGGCUGUUCAGGCUCUUUUUGGUUCAAUACAAAUUUUAGAGUAAUUUUCUAAUUUUAGUAAAUUUUCUAAAGUAAAUGUUCUAAUCCUGUGAAGAAUGACGUUGGUAAUUUGAUAGGUAUAGCAUUGAAUCUGUAAAGUGCUUUGAGCAAUACGGCCAUUUUUACAAUAGUGGUUUUGGUACUGAAACACCAGGUGCUCAGUCUAGGUCCUGCUGCUUGCUGCACAGAAAGCCAAUGACUGAGACAGCAAGUAUUGCCAAGGAAGAAGCUUUAAUCCGGUGCUGCAGCAGAGGAGGUGGGAACUCAGUCUCAAAUCCAUCUCUCUGACCUACUAAAACCAGGGAUUUAUAUAACAAGGAAGGAAUGUAACAUUGUGUAAGAAAACAGGAACUAGGGAGGUGUCAGGAAGCAAUCGCGAUGAAUGAGGGGUACAACAUCUCAUUGUCUGGAUGUGAUGAUCUACUGAGUUUCAGUUCUUUGACACUUUUUGUGAGAGGCCUGAAGGUCAUUUCCUCAGGAAGGAACUCAGAUAAAACAAAUAUAAGUUUCAAGCUUUAAGACCAGAAGGGUCAAUUUCUAUGUUUAUUAAAAAGAAAAAAACUGUUAGACUGGGCGUGGUGGCUCAUGCCUGUAAUCCCAGCACUUUGGGAGGCUGAGGCGGGCAGAUCACGAGGUCAAGAGAUUGAGACCAUCCUGGCCAACAUGGUGAAGCAUCAUGUCUACUAAAAAUACAAAAAUUAGCCAGGCAUGGUGGCACAUGCCUGUAAUCCCAGCUACUUGGGAGGCUGAGGCAGGAGAAUUGCUUGAACCUGGGAGGCGGAGGGUGCAGUGAACUGAGAUUGCACCACUGCACUCCAGCCUGGUGACAGAGCGAUACUCCAUCUCAAAAACAAAAACCAAAAACCAAAAAAACAAAAAAAAAACCAAACACCAGAAUAAAACUGUCUAUGGGACAAUUGGGUCAGCUUUAGUUUUUCCAAUCCUUGAGCAUGGGAUAUUUUUCCAUUUAUUUGUGUCGUCUCAUCUCUUAUUUCUUUCAGCAGUGUUUUGUGCUUCUCGUAGAGAUCGUUCAUCUCCUUGGUUAGCUGUAUGCCUAUAGGUAUUUUAUUUUCUUUGUGGCUGUUGUAAGUGGG